UAAAAGUUUAUGAUGAAUUCAUAGUUCAACCGAUUUUUAAUGAGGUAUACAUCAAAAAUGUCUUUCGCUCCUAUCUGAAUUUUUUU
Small nucleolar RNA from Apis florea (little honeybee), 86 nucleotides. RefSeq annotates it as small nucleolar RNA snR60/Z15/Z230/Z193/J17. NCBI's taxonomy places the organism in Eukaryota, Metazoa, Arthropoda, Insecta, Hymenoptera, Apidae. The record is from RefSeq and is a predicted model, not a curated record.